GAUUGGGAGAAACCCAAUACACUUCUCCCAGGAUGGUGUGGUCUAUGCUCACACCAUGGAGAACUCAUCCAACAGCCCAAGAGGGACCAGGGAGCCUGCUCCUCCGCGAAGGACCUGGAGGGGCCACUUCCAGAGAGCCCUGGCACGUGUGUCCAAGUUCUUCAGGAGAGUACACCGAUCAAGCCGAGGCUGAGACCACGGGAGUCCUAGACAGGGACCCAUGCACAGUGAUUAAGACCUUCGGCACCUCAGGUCCCUAGUCUCCGAAGAAUCCUGUCCCGUGAUGUUGAAAUAAAUGCUGGC
RNAcentral lists this long non-coding RNA (303 nucleotides) under Rattus norvegicus (Norway rat). RNAcentral's name for it is "long non-coding RNA NONRATT030609". Lineage: Eukaryota; Metazoa; Chordata; Mammalia; Rodentia; Muridae. The record is from RNAcentral.